Humulus lupulus (European hop) is the source of this 107-nucleotide small nucleolar RNA. Lineage: Eukaryota; Viridiplantae; Streptophyta; Magnoliopsida; Rosales; Cannabaceae. The record is from RefSeq and is a predicted model, not a curated record.
AUGUUGUAAGGAGGACACUUUCUCAACAAUUCUUUAAACCUCUCACGUGUAUCAUAUAAUGAUUCCCCAUCAGUCUGGAAGAAGUUAUUGAUCUCUCAUCUUAACAU